UUCCGGUUGAUCCCGCCGGACCCGACUGCUAUCAGAGUAGGACUAAGCCAUGCGAGUCAACGCCGUAAGGCGUGGCAUACGGCUCAGUAACACGUAGUCAACAUGCCCAAAGGACGUGGAUAACCUCGGGAAACUGAGGAUAAACCGCGAUAGGCCAAGGUUUCUGGAGUGAGCCAUGGCCGAAAUCUAUAUGGCCUUUGGAUUGGACUGCGGCCGAUCAGGCUGUUGGUGAGGUAAUGGCCCACCAAACCUGUAACCGGUACGGGCUUUGAGAGAAGGAGCCCGGAGAUGGGCACUGAGACGAGGGCCCAGGCCCUAUGGGGCGCAGCAGGCGCGAAACCUCUGCAAUAGGCGAAAGCUUGACAGGGNUACUCUGAGUGAUGCCCGCU
RNAcentral lists this ribosomal RNA (389 nucleotides) under uncultured archaeon. RNAcentral's name for it is "bacterial SSU rRNA". It matches the Rfam family "Archaeal small subunit ribosomal RNA", at positions 1 to 396 of the family's 1478-position model. The record is from RNAcentral.